AACGAACGCUGGCGGCAUGCCUAACACAUGCAAGUCGAACGAGACCUUCGGGUCUAGUGGCGCACGGGUGCGUAACGCGUGGGAACCUGCCCUUAGGUUCGGAAUAACUCCCCGAAAGGGGUGCUAAUACCGGAUAAUGUCUUCGGACCAAAGAUUUAUCGCCUUUGGAUGGGCCUGCGUUGGAUUAGCUAGUUGGUAGGGUAAAAGCCUACCAAGGCGACGAUCCAUAGCUGGUCUGAGAGGAUGAGCAGCCACACUGGGACUGAGACACGGCCCAGAAUCCUACGGGAAGCAGCAGUGGGGAAUAUUGGAAAAUGGGCGAAAGCCUGAUCCAGCAAUGCCGCGUGAGUGAUGAAGGCCUUAGGGUUGUAAAGCUCUUUUACCCGGGAUGAUAAUGACAGUACCGGGAGAAUAAGCUCCGGCUAACUCCGUG
This 433-nucleotide ribosomal RNA is filed under the name uncultured bacterium. RNAcentral's name for it is "partial 16S ribosomal RNA". It matches the Rfam family "Bacterial small subunit ribosomal RNA", at positions 29 to 507 of the family's 1533-position model. The record is from RNAcentral.